Molecule: ribosomal RNA, 291 nt
Filed under: Triticum aestivum (bread wheat)
Lineage: Eukaryota; Viridiplantae; Streptophyta; Magnoliopsida; Poales; Poaceae
Description: partial small subunit ribosomal RNA
Source: RNAcentral
AUGCACAAAUUUAACUGUGGUAUGCACACUCAUUUUGGUGUCACACAACUGGAGUUAUAUCAUCGCUCUUUCUUUUCCCAUGUCAUGCCCACUAAUUUAUACUAUUGUAACCUACCUCAAAUUCUGUACGAAGAUGAUGAUCACAAUAAAGUCAUGCUCUCAUCGGAUUCCGACCAUAUAGCGACUGUGUACCAUGCAAAGCAAAUCGCUUGGAAGGUAAUAAGAGGCAAAUUCAACCUUCACUCUACAAAAUCUGCAACACAUCAUAUUAAUUGGAAACUCAAAUCUUGA